CGGGAUGUAGCGCAGCUUGGUAGCGCAUCUGCUUUGGGAGCAGAGGGUCGCAGGUUCAAAUCCUGUCAUCCCGACCA
Molecule: transfer RNA, 77 nt
Filed under: Cyanobacteriota bacterium
Lineage: Bacteria; Bacillati; Cyanobacteriota
Description: Cyanobacteria bacterium (drinking water metagenome) tRNA-Pro
Rfam family: tRNA
About the family: Transfer RNA (tRNA) molecules are approximately 80 nucleotides in length. Their secondary structure includes four short double-helical elements and three loops (D, anti-codon, and T loops). Further hydrogen bonds mediate the characteristic L-shaped molecular structure. tRNAs have two regions of fundamental functional importance: the anti-codon, which is responsible for specific mRNA codon recognition, and the 3' end, to which the tRNAs corresponding amino acid is attached (by aminoacyl-tRNA synthetases). tRNAs cope with the degeneracy of the genetic code in two manners: having more than one tRNA (with a specific anti-codon) for a particular amino acid; and 'wobble' base-pairing, i.e. permitting non-standard base-pairing at the 3rd anti-codon position.
Source: RNAcentral